UAUGUGUGGACCAGUAUUUAGAAAGAUGCCAAGGUUCAGACAUUUAUGUGGAGAGGCAGAUAUUCUCACGGAAAAUGUUUAAUUUGUAUUGGGAGGAAACAUUGUUUUGAGAAUCUGUUGUUGCGAUAUGUACAGAAAAUAAAACUAUACACCGAUUUUGUGAUGUAGUCAGAUUUCCCAUCCAGUCCAUCCGCGAAGAAACUUCUGAUAAUCAAUACAGACUUUCGAUAAUAAAUAUGGAGUACAUAAACAUCAGGUGUAUUACCCAGUUUAACAGGAUAGCAUCGGGAGACCUUCCUGUUACAUACCUCAUAACUUCGAAAUUAAUCUUUCAUUCUUUGCUCAGUAUGCACAAAAACUUGCAGUCGAAGCGCACGUGUUUCAUACAAAUGUAACCGCAUAAUUCCGUUUUCCCACGGCGCGCACACACACGGACAGCAGUGACGCUCAAGGUGUUGGAUAGAAAAACCUUUCAUUUUUUAUGCUUUUUGAGAAGGUGCUAUGAAGAAGCAGAAUCAAUAGGGGCUGAAGUAAUGACGGGCAAACUGAAAUGUUUGUUGUGUCAUCAGGCAGACAGCACGUGAAUUACCAGAUGUGAUCCAAUAAACUCCAAACGGGCUUCCUGCGUCAUAGUAUCUGCCAAAGCGCGGUGGCACCUGUUAUCUGGUGCUCUCUUGACAACUACUGAAACGAACCUAUUUCUAACAGGUCGCGGGAAAAUAUUGGGAAUGGUGGUUUGAAAAGCAUUACUUUCAAGGACCAGCACACAAAACUUGGAAGAUGGAACUGUUGUCCUGUUGAAAAGCUUUUGAAGAAAGAGAUAAUGCAGCAGUGAAACAUCUGGAGCAAACUUCAACCAACACUGACAAUCAAGAUUGUGUUGCUCAAUCAGUUUGGCUUCGAAAAAAAUUGAAAAAAAAUCUUGUUAAUAGCAGAGAAUGCAUAUUCACAUGUAAAACCACCACUUUGCUUUAAGCUUUACUUCAGAUAAUCUGAUGUUGCAGCAACUGACAGUGCUUUUGAGUGUGAUAUUAUGGGUAUGAACAUUUUGUGAUGUAAUGUACCUGAAAUGUUUCUUCAAGAAACUGAAA
This is a long non-coding RNA of Schistocerca nitens (vagrant locust), 1091 nucleotides long. RefSeq lists it as uncharacterized. The transcript is spliced from 6 exons. The record is from RefSeq and is a predicted model, not a curated record. Lineage: Eukaryota; Metazoa; Arthropoda; Insecta; Orthoptera; Acrididae.